CCAGACCGAGAACAGAAGCAAAAUCAAAAUUGAGCGGAGCCAGGCUAUGGAAAGUACGGGUCUUGCGCGGAGAGAAACAGUUCUGAAAAGAAAGAAAAAAUAAAAUAUUGAUUACUGAGUCAUUGUUUUGAGGAAAUAGAGAGGAGUACAAUUGCAAAUGUUGUUCCAGAUUUUUAUUUUAUUUUGCGGUUGGCUAGACUAACCGAAGCACAGUCCCCUCCACUACGGUUGGAGAACUGUAGCUACCCCGGCUGUGUCCUUCCCUUCUAUUUUUUGGUGAUAAUUGACUGAUUGAUCCAUUUAACUGAUUGAACCAUCGUCUACAAUGUAGCUACUAGUUUCCCUGUGUACUGGAGUGGAGUGCAGACUUGCCAUAACACCAUCACUUUCUAUAGUUAAUCGGGAUAUCGACCUCUUGUGAGAGACUGAACAGAAAGAAGAAACCUUGCUACAACUGAAGAAGCAGCUACCACAUCAUGUGAUGGUGACUGCUGACAUCACUGUCUCUGGACUGUUCUUUGACAUACCUGGCACUGGGUCAAGUCUCACUGUCGGGCUCCAGUAAAGUCCAGUUCUCUGCUGCCCCCACCCCUUGGCACAUGUACUCACACACUUAAAUACUCACACACGUCUGCCUGGUGAGUAUAAGGCAAGUUCAGAGCUUAAAAGGAGGUGAGAAGAUGCUGAGAUUCAUCAUUGGUUCACCAUAAACAGUUUAAGAUGGAGAGAAAGUGUCUACUUCUCUGUUUCGUGUCACUGCUGCUCCUCCCACCAGACACAGCCUCUGGUAACCUCCCCCUCACUUCAGAAGACCCUCCCCUCAACAGAGACGACCUCCCCCUCAACACAGAAGAAUACCCUGUCCCCCCACUGACCACAGCCUCUAGUGACCUCCCUGUCUCCCCACCAGACCCAGCCUCUAGUGACCUCCCUGUCUCCCCACCAGACCCAGCCUCUAGUGACC
Molecule: long non-coding RNA, 964 nt
Organism: Hypomesus transpacificus
Lineage: Eukaryota; Metazoa; Chordata; Actinopteri; Osmeriformes; Osmeridae
Exons: 3
Source: RefSeq, a predicted model, not a curated record